This 10374-nucleotide long non-coding RNA is filed under the name Homo sapiens (human). Its description in RNAcentral is "PREDICTED lncRNA (TCONS_00190518)". Lineage: Eukaryota; Metazoa; Chordata; Mammalia; Primates; Hominidae. The record is from RNAcentral.
GGGGGCGGGCUGCCGGCCGAGACUUCUGGAUGGCGGCGGCCGCGGCUCCGCCCCGGGUUCCCACCGCCUGAAGGGCGAGACAAGCCCGACCUGCUACAGGCACUCGUGGGGGUGGGGGAGGAGCGGGGGUCGGUCCGGCUGGUUUGUGGGUGGGAGGCGCUUGUUCUCCAAAAACCGGCGCGAGCUGCAAUCCUGAGGGAGCUGCGGUGGAGGAGGUGGAGAGAAGGCCGCACCCUUCUGGGCAGGGGGAGGGGAGUGCCGCAAUACCUUUAUGGGAGUUCUCUGCUGCCUCCCGUCUUGUAAGGACCGCCCUGGGCCUGGAAGAAGCCCUCCCUCCUUUCCUCCUCGCGUGAUCUCGUCAUCGCCUCCAUGUCGAGUCGCUUCUCGAUUAUGGGCGGGAUUCUUUUGCCUAGGCUUAAGGGGCUAACUUGGUCCCUGGGCGUUGCCCUGCAGGGGAGUGAGCAGCUGUAAGAUUUGAGGGGCGACUCCGAUUAGUUUAUCUUCCCACGGACUAGAGUUGGUGUCGAGGUUAUUGUAAUAAGGGUGGGGUAGGGAAAUGGAGCUUAGUCAUUCACCUGGGGCUGAUUUUAUGCAACGAGACUGCGGAUUAUCACUACUUAUCAUUUUUGGAGCAUUUUUCUAGAGACAGACAUAAAGCAUGAUCACCUGAGUUUUAUACCAUUUGAGACCCUUGCUGCACCACCAAAGUGUAGCAUCAGGUUAAAUCUUAAUAGAAAAAUUUUAGCUUUUGCUUGAGAAACCAGUGCUUCCCUCCCUCACCCUCUCUCCCCAGGCUCUCUACCCCUUUGCAUCCCUACCAGGCAUCUUAGCAACUCUCACUCAUACUUGAUCCCAUUUUCCAUUUGUUGUACUUGCUCCUCUAGUAUUCAGACAUAGCACUAGCUUUCUCCCUCUCUUGAUCUUGGGUAGCCUGGUGUCUCGCGAAACCAGACAGAUUGGUUCCACCACAAAUUAAGGCUUGAGCUGGGGCUUGACUCUUACCCAGCAGUGCUUUUAUUCCUCCCUAGUUCACGUUCUUAAAUGUUUAUCUUGAUUUUCAUUUUAUCCUUUUUCCUUAGCUGGGAUUCUGUCCCUGACCGUCUUCACAGUCCAGGUGAUCUUGACUACUGCUUUACAGAGAAUUGGAUCUGAGGUGUGGAAACAGGAAGAGAACUAGAACUGGAAGUAAAGCAUUGAAGAUGUGACUGAAUUGCUGCAAUCUCAUGAUCAAAUUUGAAUGGAUGAGGAGUUGCUUUUUAGGGAUGAGCAAAGAAAGUGGUUUCUCGAGAUGGAAUCUACUGGUGAAGUUGCUGUGAACAUUGUUAAAAUGCCAAUAAAGGAUUUAGGAAUUACAGAAACCUGGUUGAUAAAGCAGUGCCAGGGUGUGAGAGAGUUGACUUCAAUUUUGAAAUAAGUUCCACUGGCUGGGUGUGGUGGCUCACACCUGCAAUCCCAGUACUUUAGGAGGCCGAGACUGGUAGAUCAUUUGAGGUCAGGAGUUCAAGACCAGCCUUGCCAACAUGGUGAAACCCCACCUCUACCAAAUUAGCCAGGUGUGGUGCACACCUGUAGUCCCAGCUACUUGGGAAGCUGAGGCAGGAGAAUCUCUUGAACCAGGGAGGAGGAGGUUGCAGUAAGCCGAGAUGGCGCCCCUGCACUCCAGCCUGGGUGACAGAGUGAGACCUUGCGUUUAAAAAAAAAAAAAAAGGAAAAGGAAAAAAAAGUUCUACUGUGGGUAAAAUGCUAUCAUGCUAUCAAACAGCAUCACAUGCUACAGAGAAGUCUUGUGAAAGGAUGUCAGUGUGGCAAACUUCAUUGUCUUUUAAGAAAUUGCCACAGCUAUCGUAAUCUUCAACCACCACCACCCUGAUGAGUCAGUAGCCAUCGUUAACGUUGGCGUAAGACCCUCCACCAGCAAAAAGAUUGUUAGCAUUUUUUUAGCAGUGAUGUAUUUAUCAAUUAUACAUAAUGCUAUUGUACACUUCUUAAUAGACUAUGGUAUAGUGUAACCAUAAUUUAUGCACUGGGAAACCAACAAAUUCAUGAGAUUCGCUUUAUUGUAGUGCUCUGGAAUUGAGCCUGCCGUGUUUCUGAGGUAUACCUGUGUAUUUAGUAUGUUCCUUGUAUAUAAAACCCCAUUUUAUAGGGUAGGAAACUAAGGCUUAGAGUUUGAGCAAUUUUCCCAUAGAUAACACCAAUAAAUUGAGGGCUGCAGAGACCACUUAAGUGGUUCUCUUAACAGUAGUCUAGACAUGACGUAAUGAGAUUUGGCUUAGGAGUGACAAUGGUAAGGAAGUUAAAGGAUUCAGGAACCAAAUACCAGUUAUUGAGAAGAAAGAAUGGCCUCAAAACAUCACUUCUCAAGGAAGCCUUGAUACCCUCACCCUUACUACACUGUAUCCUCCAUUUGAAUGUUGUCAAGAGCUCUUCUCACAAUUGUAAAUAAUAAUUGUGUAAUUUUGUUUUUUUUUUCCUACUUUAGGUUGCUCCUUGAGGGCAGGACAGUUCUUAUGGCUUUAUCCGUUGCGUAAGCACAGAGAGGUCUGCGAGGUCAAAACUAUUGUCAUGAUAGCAAGAUGCCUGUCUUUUUCAUUUAUUCUCACGGUGUGCAGAGGCUACAUGAUGUGUGAUGACAUCCUCAUUGAUGUUAAUGAAUGGUGCUAUACUUGAAUUUUCUAAGGUGUCAUUAGGUAGGUUUAGGUAUGCAUACUUGUUUUUAGAAAUUAUUUUUUUCCUUUUUCCCAUUUUUAGAAAUCAACUCAUUUUUUAGGUUAUGCCUUCAGUAAUCUUUGCAACCUCAAUAUUGUGUAAUGGUUACUUUAAAAUACUGUAGUUUUCUUUGUGCCUAAGUAUAAACAUAAGUACAUUUUGUUGUUUUGUUUGCAAUAGUGGUUUAAAUAUUUUCCCAAAAUAUCCAAAUUUAAAAAUUCUACAACUUUAGAAUUUAAUAAAUUUAUUCUAAAAUAUUUAUAUAUUUUUUCAUUUAAGAAUGGAUCGGCUUAAAAAGACUGCUUCUCAUUUACUUACUGGCUAUACCAUCUGUAUACUAAUAAAAAACAAGAUUUGAUUUGGAAGGACUGACUCAAACUAACGAAAAUAUGAAACCUGUCUUUCUGCUUUGGAGAUAUUUACCUAAUCAUGUUCUGCAGUAGAAUAAUUUAGUUCUUUUGUCUUUUUUUGGAGAUGAGGUCUUGCUGUGUUGCCCAGGCUAUUCACAGCUGCCAUCAUAGUGAACUACAGCCUGAAACUCCUGGGUUCAAGAGAUCCUUCUGCCUCAGCCUCCUGAGUAGCUGGAACUAUAGGCAUGCGCCACCAAGCCUGGGCUUUUAAAAAAAUUUUAAAAAGAAUUUUGAGACAGGAUCUUGCCAUGUUGCUCAGGCUAGUCUUCAACUCCUAGCCCUGAGUGAUCUUGCUUUGGGCCUCUCAAAAUGUUGAGUUAAUAGGCGUGAGCCACCAUACCCAGCCAAAAAUUUUUUUAGAGAUGGGAAUGGAAUGAUCUUGAAUAGUGUUGGUGCCACCUAUGUUGUGGCAUCAUUUUGAAACCAAUCAUUCAGAGUGCUUUUUUUGGUAAGGCAUUAUUUUUUAAUGCAGGUAUGCCACUACUGGGAAAAAAAAAAAAACAGGUUUUAAAGCUAGAAAUGAAAAGCUACUUAAGUAUCUUAAAGGAUAAGUUACUUUAUUAUACACUAGAAACAUACACAAUAGCUGAAAAACUUAAAAAAUCUCACACUGCUGAAUGUCUCUGCUGGCUGAAGUGUAAGUAAAAGAUCAUAGUAGUGCCGCUGUUGAGUGAUAAAGCAACUUGUCAUUAAAGAUGUGUGUGCAGACAUGGAUUCUGAGUUAAUAUCUCAUCUGUAGAAGUAUAUAUUUGUCCCUUGCUUUGGGAUUGGUUUCUGGACAGCACUCCCCCACCCUUGCUGGCCAUUUGCCAAGGACACCAAAACCCAAGGAUGUUGAAUUCCCUUUUAUAAAAUGGCGCUGUAUCUGCAUACAACUUACACACAUCCUCCCAUAUACUUUAAAUCAUUUCCAGAUUUCUUAUACUUCAUACAAUGUGAAUGCUAUAUAAAUAGUUGUUACAUUGUGUACUUAUAUUUGUACUAUUGUAUUAAAUAUUCUCAAAUAUUUUCAAGCACAUUUGGUUGAAUCUGCAGAUGCAGAACCUGAGGAUAUGGAGGGCUGACUGUGCUAAUACGUUAUCAAUGGAUGCGUGCAUAAACAUGGCUGGACUUGUUACUUGGCUUGUAUUUGCCAGGCAUCAGCACCAACUAGUUAAAGAUACUCUUACGUGAAAGCUUGGCAACAAACACAUGUCCUGAAAUAAUGCAAGUGUAGAAUAACUUUUUAAAAUCUCAUGGUUUAUGCUAAACUAUAUGUUGACAUAAGAGUGGUGAUAAGGCAACAGUAGGUAAAAGUAAAAUUUCAGGCACCUUGGCACAAACUGUGGCAGUGGCAUCAAACUCUAAGUUAUUUUUCACUGCCAUGCAUUUGUGGUGUGAACCCCCACAAAAGAAAAAAACCAGUUUCACUCAAGAAUGUCCUUGUGAAAGCAGUGACAUUUUGUUAAAUCUUAAACCCUACAGUACAUAACUUUUUGAAAUGGUUGUCUCAAGAAAAAGCACUCAUGUAAGCUGAAUUAUCUGCUAUUUCCUUGGAGCCUAACAACUGACAGCAAUUGUUUUCAAUGAUAAAAUCCAAACGUUGAGUCAAAAUCAGAAUUUCGGGAAAACUUGUGUCUAAUAUCAGGAACUUGACAGCUUCCCAAUACUUCAUGAGAUAGUGAUAUUGAAAAUAAUUUUUUUUUUUUUUUGGGACAUCUGGCUGACUGCAACCUCUGUCUCCUGGGUUCAAGCAAUUCUCCUGCCUCAGCCUCCUGCAUAACUGGGACUACAGGUGUGUACCACUGUACCCGGCUAAUUUUUGUAUUUUUAGUAGAGAUGGGGUUUCACCAUGUUGGCCAGGGUGGUCUUGAACUCCUGACCUCAGGUGAUCCACCUUGGCCUCCCAAAGUGCUAGGAUUACAGGUUUAAGCCACUGUGCCCGGCCAAUGAUAUUUUAGGUAGUAUACAGUAAAAUGGGCCAACAUUUGGGAGAUUGACAUAACUCAGUGAAGCUAUAUUUUCCUAAUGACUAAUACGUGAGAUUAUAGAAAACUGCUAGUAACAUUGUAACCAAUUGAAUGCAAAAGAAACAAUUCAGUUGUCUUCUAUUUAAGUCAGACAUUUAGGGAAACAAUUGCCAAAAUGUAAAACAAUGCACCUAUUUUUUUAAAAAUAUGCAUUUGUUGCUAUAAUAUUUAAAUAUUUUACUUUCUAAUAUGGUAAGAUACUAGUAAAGUGAUUUGGGGCCCUCAAUCUUUAAGAAUGUGAAGGGAUUCUCUGAGGCCACAAAGUUUAAGAAAUGGCUACUCUAGCACAAACGCACAUAGUAAAUACUCAAGUACCUGUUGAAUGACUUCAUGGAGUUAAAGUGACUCCUGGUAUUAAAUCUGUAUGGCUGGGAUAAUGGGCAUGCUAGGACAGGAAGCAGAUUUCCUUAACUUCACCACUGUAACUCAUUAACAAACAUGUUAGCCUGAGACAGAAGUAUUAAGGGGCGACAGGAAAGCCUUUCAUAAGCAAUGUGAUGCUUUUUUUCACAUUAUUCAACAUGGUUUAAAAUUUGGUAUACAGGCCUAUGGUGUUUGUCCUGAACUUUUGCCAGAGUAGAAUGGUUCAUGUUUUUCCUCAUAGAUUUUCACUCCUCACUAAACUUCAUGACAUCUAACAUGAACUUAUUAGAAAAGGCUAUGCUUGAGAAUAAGGAUAUCUUUUUUCUAUGCCUAUGUUGUUAAUGAGUAUGAAGCACUUACAGGCUUUUAUGUACUUGAGGUUCCAAAGACAUUUCCAAAUUUUCCCAUUUUCAGUCUUCAACUUAACAUUUUGGUCCUUGCAGUGGAGACCUGAGUCCUAUCUGACAUUGGGACUACAGUUAGGGCAGAAUUUCCUAAACUGCCAUUUUUUAAAGAAAUAAGGGUAACCAAAUGUUCCCCUUAAAAGCACUCUGGUACCCUCUAGUAUUGGGAGAUAACUAUCUUCCCCUAAUUAGAUUUGUAAAAUCUUUCUCAAUAUUUAUUUACAUUUUUUUCCCCUCAAAUAUAUUGACUUUUUCAUUCCCAGUAACAAUAUGUCUGGUCUGUAACUAAGUCAUUCCAUGUUCAGAUUACAGAUUUAUUUCCCCAUCUUUUCACAUUCUUUUAGUCCAGGAGACCCACUUUGAAGGUUAAAACCAAGGUCACACAAUGAAUAGGUGGCAGUGUCACAUAUAACUCAGCUCCAGGCCUUAUGAAUCCUGCUUAUAGCCCACUGCCUAUUCUAGUCACCAGAUUGAAAAACACCAUACUAGGGAAGAAGACGGCAAACUAUUGCCCACUACAUAUUUGUAUCAGUCUUGUCAAAUUUUUAUUGUAGUAUGUAAUAGAAUUAAAGCUAUGAUGAAUCAAGUAAAAAAUGAUUUCCUUAAAAACUAAGCUAAUAGGCGAAAAUACUCGCUUGUUCAACAAAUACCCAGUCUGGCAGAUACAAUACCCUGCCCUUAGUGGGGGGUGGAGUGGGGGGUGGGGGGGUGGGGAAAGACAUCGUGGUGAAAACAGACAUGGUCCUUGAACUUCCUGGUUCUGUGGGUUGCUUAAUUUGAGGUUUAAAUGGUUUCUCCCAUCAGGUGAAAAGUUUUGUGUUCGGCCCAUAAACAAAGCAGCUGUGAAUUCUGAUAGUGGUAAAAAGGCCAGUCUAGGAUAUAAAACCUUCAUAAACAUCUUAUUUCCCAUUCAUUAUGAAGUGUGGGGUAGGAGAUCAGAGAAACCAGAUGAGGAUUGCUGGCUGUGCUGCUAAUGUGAACUCUUCUUUCAAAAGUAUUGUGUCCUUUUAUUCUCAAUGGAGACAUCAGAAAGUAUUAAGAGGAGUACUAUUAUAAUACUAAUAGGAUACUGAAAAUCUAUACUGAUUGCAGCCAGAGGCUCCAAAAUAAACAAUACUAUGAUGAGUUCCACAAAAAAACCUCAACUACUCUUUGUUCCAGGGAAGCACCAUUUUCCACAAAACUCUCAAGAAGGACUUGUUGCAACUGGAAAAGCAAUUAAAUGUGAAUCGUGAUCCAGGAGAAAGUAACAACUCACAUAACUCCCAAAUUAAAAGUUUUCCAAAGAUAUAUCAUUUUUUUUCUCUUGGCCUUUUAAGAAACUAGCCAACAAAUACUCUUGACAGGUUUGUGUUUGGUUUUGAAAACACACACCUUAGUGUACUGAAAGAAAAACAAUUUCUUUUAAUUUGGUUUGUUGGUCCCACACCCCAUCUAUCAAUGUAUGUGCUAUUUACAAAUAAGUUCUAUACAGUAUUUUUGCAGUACCUUUGAUAAUUCCUAGACCUCUAUUUUCAUUCUGUGUAUUAAUGUGAAUAACAGAUGGAUAUUUUAAUAUUUAAGGCAGAUGGUAAACUUUCCUAUAGGUCUUGUGAGACUUCGUCUUAUAGGCUGAACACCAUUCACAAAAUGUAAUAAUGCUUCAUUCCUUCAGGUUGAGGUAAAGAACUUGAGCAACUGGAUUAGCAAAGCUGCAAAGAAUGAAAUGUGGCCUAAGAUGUAAUUAUGUUCUCUGCCCUUCCUUUGGGCCAGGGUAGUUUUGCACUUGACACAAUGGAAAAUAGGCCAUAAAGCCUGAAAAUAAAAUGUUCUAAACCCCAAUCUCACAGCACUUUAGUAGGCUUUUCACUAGGCAUCUUUAAAGUAUUUUCAACAAAAUACUAAUUAAGCUACCACUUCAAAAGAGCUUCAAGGAAAAGCUCUGCUUUCUUAUAAAAUCUUUUUGAGACAGAGUUUCGCUCUUGUCGCACAGGCUGGAGUGCAAUGGCGUGAUCUCGACUCACCGCAACCUCCGCCUGCUGGGUUCAAGUGAUUCUCUAGCCUCAGCCUCCUGAGUAGUUGGGAUUACAGGCGCCCGCCACCACACCUGGCUAAUUUUUGUAUUUCUAGUAGAGACAGGGUUUCACCAUGUUGGCCAGGCUGGUCUCCGGACCUCAGGUGAUCUGCACACUUCGGCUUCCUAAACUGCUGGAAUUACAGUCGUGAGCCACUGUGCCUGGUCUCAUAAAACUUUUAAAUUCCAUCACAUUACAUUCACACCUUUUGCUAACCAGGAUGAAGAGCCUUAAACAGGUUUAAAGAGUGCAGACUGCAGUUUUGUUAAUACUUUUUUCCUCUCCAAGUUCUUUUAUGCUAACAUUUCCAGUGGUGGGAAGUACAAGUACUAUUAGUCAUCUUCAUUCUUUGCAUUGCCAAAGAGUUCCUCUUUCUCCGUCUUGUUCUGAAGGAUGAACAAAAGCUUGAGGUGUACGUAUCAGAACGUAAACUGCAGCACGAAGACCACCAACGUUCACCCAGACUGUAUCCACCUUUCGCCAUACGUGUCGCAUUCCAGAUAACGCCUGUGUACACACAAAAAAAAUAACAAUUAGGUUGACAAUCUACUUUUACAUCAACUAGGAUUCUUAACUGCCAAGAUAGGAAACCUCAGGGGAAGAGAAAACAAAUCUUAUCCAAACAAACAUCCCCAAAUCUCAAAAAGAUCCCAAAGUUGCCACAGGCUGCGAUUUUGAGCUAAUGUGUAUAGCACCUUGGUAAAGCAUUUUGUGUCUUGAGUAAGUAGUACAGCUCGGCCUGUGGUAGGUGUGCAGACACGGCUCAUCUCCCGUAGGCAAGCUGGAUAAAGGUUCCAGUUUCUCUUCUUGGAUCCCAUCCUAUAAUAGAAGGUCUCAUGAGUCAAACACUUGCAAAAGAUACAAAAUAGAAGGACUAUAUGAAACAAAAACAGUUUCAUGCAUCCUGAGGCAUGAAAAAUAGCUGUAGUUUUAGAAACCAGACCUUUGCCAUUACAUGUCUAUGAAAUAAGUUGAGUUAGUAAACUGCUUAGAAUUCUGAAUCAAAAAAAUUUUUUUUAGACAACUGUGUUAGUUAUAUGACUUGUCCUCUUAGUAUAAUAAGCAGUCAAACUGUAUAAACCAAACAAGUGAUUAGAAAUCAUUUAGGCCAGGUGUUUUGGUGGCUCAUGCCUGUAAUCCCAGCAGUUUGGGAGGCUGAGGCGGGCAGAUCACCUGAAGUCAGGAGUUUGAGACCAGCCUGGCCAAUAUGGUGAAACCCUGUCUUUUAAAAAUACAAAAAUAAGCUGGGCAUGAUGGCAUGUGCCUGAAAUCCGAGCUACUCAGGAGGGUGAGGCAGGAGAAUCGCUUGAACCCGGGAGGCAGAGGUUACAGUGAGCCGAGAUCAUACCACUGCACUCCAGCCUGGGCAACAGAGCAGGGCUCUGUCUCCAAAAAAAAAAAAAGAAUCAUUUAUGCUGAGAAACAGAAUGAGAACCAAGUCUUCUACCACCUUUUUGUGUAGGAUAUAUAAUUCAAGAAUGGGCUAGAAAGUGAAUUACAGGUAAUUUAAAAAUGAACCUCCCAUGAUGGUCAGGAUUCCAAAUGUAGUUAAUACAUUCCUGAGUUCUCGGAAGAAACAUAAUGGGUGAAUCCAUCAUGUUGUUAAGUGAAAAACAGCUCUGCUAAGUCUGCUAAAAUUCAAGAUUUUUUUCCUGACUUAGAAUAAACGCAAGGAAAAUAAUGACAUAUUUAGAAGACAAGCAGGUACUAGUAUUUCUCACCUUUUUCCAAAUGGCAAAUCUGUUACAAUAAUAUCCACAGAGCCAGUUCUCAAUGGCAGAUUGCAGAUAUCCCACUGAACAGCAUCUAUGGGCAAGCCCCAGGAGGGUUUGCUGUGGGGACAAAGGAAAGGUGCUUCAACAUACUGUGAAGCAUAAAGUUAUUACAACAAUUUUUGUUUCUGAAGAGAGACUGCUACAGCAAAACAUAAACUGCUAAGGAUAUCAGUGAUAAUAUCAACCUAUUCAAAAUUUAAGAAAUGGCACAAAGGUAAAAAAUAGGUCAGGCUGGGCAUGGUAGCUUGUGCCUAUAAUCAGCACUUUCAGGGGCUGAGGUGGGAGGAUCACUGGACUCCAGGAAUUUGAGACCAGCUGAGCAACACUGUGAGACCUUGUCUCUAAAAUACUUUUUUAAGAAGUUAGCAGGGCAUGAUGGCACACACCUAUAGUCCCAGCUACUCAGGAGGCUGAGGUGGGAGGAUCACUUGAGUCCAGGAGUUGAAAGAUGCAGUGAGCUAGGAUUGUGCCGCUUUACUCCAGCCUGGGUGACAGAGCAAGACCCCCGUCUCAGAAAAAAGGGAAACAAACUGAAAACAUGAUUGUAAUGCAGAGAACUGCAAAAGACAACUUUAAAAACAAUGCUGAAGCAGUAAAUUACAUAACCGAUGAUACAAAAAUUUAAGUUGCUGAUAAAACAUACACUGGAG